RNAcentral lists this ribosomal RNA (383 nucleotides) under marine copepod environmental sample. RNAcentral describes it as "SSU rRNA". It matches the Rfam family "Eukaryotic small subunit ribosomal RNA", at positions 587 to 972 of the family's 1831-position model. Lineage: Eukaryota; Metazoa; Arthropoda; Copepoda. The record is from RNAcentral.
AGCUCCAAUAGCGUAUAUUAAAGUUGUUGUGGUUAAAAAGCUCGUAGUUGGAUCUCAACAGCCUUGAAGCGGUUAACUUUGUAGUUUUACUGCUUUAUAGGCUUUGCUUUUGCUGGAGGUUUAGGGGUGCUCUUGAUCGAGUGUCUCUGGAUGCCAGCAGGUUUACUUUGAAAAAAUUAGAGUGCUCAAAGCAGGCUAAAAUGCCUGAAUAUUCGUGCAUGGAAUAAUAGAAUAGGAUGUCGAUCCUAUUUUGUUGGUUUUCGGGACUCGACAUAAUGAUAAAUAUGGUCAGUCGGGGGAAGGUGGAGGCAUACGUAAGAGGGGAAAGGAGGGGAGAGGGGGAAGAAAAAAGAAGGAGAAAGCAUUUGCCAAGAAUGUUUUCA